RNAcentral lists this ribosomal RNA (253 nucleotides) under uncultured bacterium. RNAcentral describes it as "partial 16S ribosomal RNA". It matches the Rfam family "Bacterial small subunit ribosomal RNA", at positions 524 to 776 of the family's 1533-position model. The record is from RNAcentral.
UACGUAGGGGGCUAGCGUUGUCCGGAUUUAUUGGGCGUAAAGAGCGUGUAGGCGGCCAGGUAAGUCUGCUGUGAAAACUCGAGGCUCAACCUCGAGACGUCGGCGGAAACCAUCUGGCUAGAGUCCGGAAGAGGAGAGUGGAAUUCCUGGUGUAGCGGUGAAAUGCGCAGAUAUCAGGAAGAACACCCGUGGCGAAGGCGGCUCCCUGGGACGGUACUGACGCUGAACUGCGAAAGCUAGGGGAGCGAACGGG